AACAGGAUUAGAUACCCUGGUAGUCCACGCCGUAAACGAUGUCGACUUGGAGGUUGUGCCCUUGAGGCGUGGCUUCCGGAGCUAACGCGUUAAGUCGACCGCCUGGGGAGUACGGCCGCAAGGUUAAAACUCAAAUGAAUUGACGGGGGCCCGCACAAGCGGUGGAGCAUGUGGUUUAAUUCGAUGCAACGCGAAGAACCUUACCUGGUCUUGACAUCCACAGAACUUUCCAGAGAUGGAUUGGUGCCUUCGGGAACUGUGAGACAGGUGCUGCAUGGCUGUCGUCAGCUCGUGUUGUGAAAUGUUGGGUUAAGUCCCGCAACGAGCGCAACCCUUAUCCUUUGUUGCCAGCGGUCCGGCCGGGAACUCAAAGGAGACUGCCAGUGAUAAACUGGAGGAAGGUGGGGAUGACGUCAAGUCAUCAUGGCCCUUACGACCAGGGCUACACACGUGCUACAAUGGCGCAUACAAAGAGAAGCAAUCUCGCGAGAGCUAGCGGACCUCAUAAAGUGCGUCGUAGUCCGGAUUGGAGUCUGCAACUCGACUCCAUGAAGUCGGAAUCGCUAGUAAUCGUGAAUCAGAAUGUCACGGUGAAUACGUUCCCGGGCCUUGUACACACCGCCCGUCACACCAUGGGAGUGGGUUGCAAAAGAAGUAGGUAGCUUAACCUUCGGGAGGGCGCUUACCACUUUGUGAUUCAUGACUGGGGUGAAGUCGUAACAAGGUAACC
RNAcentral lists this ribosomal RNA (730 nucleotides) under uncultured bacterium. Its description in RNAcentral is "bacterial SSU rRNA". It matches the Rfam family "Bacterial small subunit ribosomal RNA", at positions 771 to 1501 of the family's 1533-position model. The record is from RNAcentral.